GCUUGUCGCUGGCAUCCAUGAGAUGCGAGAGGAAAGUCCGGGCAGCAUAGGGCGCCCCACUUCUGAAAAUGGAAGCUGUUGGCGACAGCAGGUUAGGACAGAAGAAAACAACCGCCUUCCUGAUGGGAGGCAAGGGUGAGAAGGUGGUGUAAGAGACCACCAGCCAGUGGGUGAUCACUGGGCUGUGUCCACUGGGGGCUGCAAGUUCGCGUAAACCGUCGCCCGAGGGUUGCCCGCCCGAUUUGCGAUGGAGGGUAGAACGCUUGAGCCGAGGGGUGACCCGAGGCGUAGAUAAAUGACAAGCAUUGGACUUUUGGACAAUACAGAACCCGGCUUAUAGGAGGUCU
RNAcentral lists this RNase P RNA (347 nucleotides) under uncultured Prevotella sp. RNAcentral's name for it is "Bacterial RNase P class A". It matches the Rfam family "Bacterial RNase P class A". From Rfam's summary of the family: Ribonuclease P (RNase P) is a ubiquitous endoribonuclease, found in archaea, bacteria and eukarya as well as chloroplasts and mitochondria. Its best characterised activity is the generation of mature 5'-ends of tRNAs by cleaving the 5'-leader elements of precursor-tRNAs. Cellular RNase Ps are ribonucleoproteins. The record is from RNAcentral. Lineage: Bacteria; Pseudomonadati; Bacteroidota; Bacteroidia; Bacteroidales; Prevotellaceae.